Nycticebus coucang (slow loris) is the source of this 6368-nucleotide long non-coding RNA. RefSeq lists it as uncharacterized. The transcript has 5 exons. The record is from RefSeq and is a predicted model, not a curated record. NCBI's taxonomy places the organism in Eukaryota, Metazoa, Chordata, Mammalia, Primates, Lorisidae.
UAUAAUGAUUCCCAAUUUAUAGACAUUGAGGCUGGUUCCCAUGUUGUUAUUAUCAACAAUUGGAAGCAGCAUUGAGAGGUCACUUUGUGUGUGCAUGCUAAUUUUAACUGCAAUGCUAGUCACCCACCCCAGGGUUGCACCAACUUACUAAACUCCCUCUGGGAAUACCCGAGGGUGCCUUUUCCCCAUACUGUUGCUAUUUAUCAAACUUAUUGAAACUGCCCUUUAUAAAAUUAAUAAAGGGCCACAAGGUGGGAAGUAUAGUAGAGGCCUGAACUCUGCAGAGGUAAAGGCAUAUUUUAAAAAUAUAUAUAACCAGCCAUUUUUCCUAGCUUGCUUUCCUAUAAUUGCUUCCUAUUGAGGAGUCACAUAGUUAAUAGUUAUAAAGAUUGUUAGCUUUCUUCAUUGUUCCCAUAGAUAACAUCAUUCUUGUGAAGCCUAAGGCUAGUUUUUGAGCUAUCUUCUCGUUCCCACAUUCUGGUGGGCCAGCUGACCCAUCCAGACCAGGAGCCCAUACCAAUGAACUGAUUCAGCUAGUCUUGUGACUUGGGAACUGACUCAGCAGAAGAAGACAAUUUCUGCUUUCUGAUCCUGUGAGAUCAUUCUCAGCCAAUCAGCAGACUCAAUGAGUUCAUACCCAGCCGACCAGCAGACCCAAUUCCCUUGCCCUUUGCCCACCUAACUAUCUUUCAAAACUCUUUCUCCCAAAUUCUUGGGAAGACAUUUGAAAAUUUCCUCCUGUCUCCUCAUGUGGCACCUGUGAUAUUCAACUCCUCCACGGUAGCCUCUGCUGUCUUAGUGUAGUGGCUUCCUCUUGAGCAGCAGGCAAUGAACCCACGGGAGAAAAGGAGAAGACGUGAGAGAGAAGGAGAGAAGAAAAAAUGAAGAGGACAAGGACUGGUCAAAGUAGAAGAGGAAGAAAAAACACCUCCAGCCUGGCCUGGUAGAACCACACUUAACACUAAUGCUGAAUAACAGUGAUUAAAUGCAAAAGGCACCGUGGUCUGACGCCCUUUCUAAGCAGAGAUAAAGAGGCAGCCUAAACGGAUCUCAUCUACAGUUACACCUCUACACCCGGAGCUAUCACAGGAGGGUUCUAGCUCCUCUGAAGACAGUAGGCUACUUGGGAGACACUCUGGGGAAUGUGGGGUUUUCAGCAAUGAGGAUUAAGAAACUGGAUUAAAGGAGGGGAGAUAAAAACUGUUCCUGGAAAAGGAGGCAGAGAACAUGCUCUUGAACAUGAGAUAGGGACCUUUGUUUGGUAGAGAAAAUUGGUCAUUGAAGACGAGUUGGCUAAACUUGGUCAGGGCUGUGGGAUUUACAUAAGCUCCUUUAUAAACAAACUUUAAACCUGAAAGAGAAAAAUGUUCAAAGUUCUUUUUUUUUUUGAGACAGAGUCUCACUAUGUCGCCCUGGGUAGAGUGCCAUGGCGUCACAGCUCACAGCAACCUCCAACUCUUGGGCUUAAGUGAUUCUCUUGCCUCAGCCUCUCAAGUAGCUGGGACUACAGGUAUCCACCACAACCUACAGGUACCACAACCUACCUGGCUAUUUGUUUUGUUGCAGUUCUCAUUAUUAUUUGGCAGGCCCAGGCUGGGUUUGAACCCACCAGCUCUGGUGUAUGUGGCUGAUGCCCUAGCCUCUGAGCUACAGGUGCAGAGCCUGAAAGUUCAUUCUUGAUUAGAGGGAAAUAUAGGUUCUAUAGGAGGAAGAAAAAUCAGUAAAGCUAGUUAGUAGGAAACAAAUAAGUAGAAAAAAAUAAAUGAAGUCAGUAAAUUAAGAGAUAAAGUAGAUCACCAAGACCACACAGAAACAGCUCCCAGUAAGAAACUUGUUUCUUCCAAGGAACAAAUACUAGAGCUGCAUACUUUGUUACUCCUUGCUUACACUGGGAGGAAGCCUGAGCCAAGAUAUGGAUGAAGCUCCCUCUCUGGGCAUCCUGUGUACGUUAAGCUUUAAAGCAAUCCAGACUGCCUGUUUUUGACUGCUCUCUCUCUCUCUGAUCAUGCAGAACAUGGGUUCACCCAAAGGCCGGUGUGGCAACAAUCUGGGGUCUAGUGUAAGGGCACAUUUUGUGGGCCAAGCAAUAGAUAUCACAAAUACCAGUUACUUGGGACUCAGCCUUCCAGAAAGGAAGCCCAGGCCAUGCCCAAAACAAGGCUGCCGUUGCUGUUGGGAUGGGAUCUAAAAAAUGGGCUGAGAUUCCUAGACCAAGUGGAGACUUGUUGAGUUUAGCUAGAACUGAACACUGAAAGGAGGCAAUUUGAAGAUUGGAAGAACUGGGAGUAUCAAAUGAUGGGUAAACACUGUAAGCUGGGGACACUGUGACCAUGAGAGUGGAUAAGACUGAAUCCAGCCAGAGAGAGAGGCUGAGGUGUUGGGAAGUAGUCAAAGCCUAGUAGAGGAGGAAGAAUCUCUUGGGUAUUGAGUUCUAGAUGUGAUAUGGCUUCUAACUGGAUUUGACCAGUGAAAGGUGCUCUGAGGGGCCUGAAAGAAAGUGAGAUAAGAGAAUUUACCCUUUGUCCCCCACUCCCUGACUUCUUUCCUGCCAAGGCAUUUGGGCUGGCUAUGUCCAUCUACCAAAGACCAAAGCUCUGGGCACAUAGCUCAUCCUCUACACUUACCUAUUGGAUUCCUACGACCACUCUCUUUCCUGGGUCUUUUAGGCCUUAGGACAGCCCCUCCACGGUUGCUAACCCUAAGAGACUGCUCUAUUAUUAAUAUCUCUAACCAUUCCUAGGCCUUUUUAAAUACUCUCUUUAUUAAACUCUUCACAUUGCCCAGUUUGAAAUCGCUGCAUGCUGGAGCCCUGACUGAACACACCUCCAUGGAGUUCAGAUGGAACCGACACUCCUCCAAGACUCAGGUACCGGCAAAGGAUUCAAGUCAGAGAGCAUUGUGCCUCCUGGCCACACUAACACGAUCAAGUAUGUGACCCUAUCAGAGCCCAAAAGUCUACAUUUGGAACAAUUGUAGAAACUGUUAAGAUGAGAGACUCUUUCCAAGUAGGUUUGCUAAGAAAACACAACACGCAUCUGAACUGUUGGUUGCCAUUUUGCAGCCACAAGGAGAUAUUAUGCUGAGAGAAGUGACAACAGAGAGAAAAGCAGAUCUGGAAAAGGGACAGAGACUGAGCCCUGAUGACAACAUUCAAGCCCAUGGAUAAGCUGGCUCUGAACCUGCGCAACUGUGUUCUAUAAGCUGAUCAAAUCUACCCCCUUCCUUUUAAAAAUGCUUAAUGCGUUUGGAGUUGGAAUUUUGUUAUUUGGAACUGUGCUACUGACAGACAUCUGCAGGAAAAUCCCUGUCCCUUGUGGCAGGGAGGCAAUAAUGCUAAGGGGCUACGUGGAGAUGAGAGUCUACAGUGGUGCUACGGUAGAUGCACCAAAGCUAGAAUGGAGGAGCCACUGUAGAAGGAGGCAGGGUGGGAACUGCCAGGCCAGGGAGCGGACAGCUUCAGUGGUGGCAGCAACAGAAACAGUCUGUGGUAGCCACAGAGGAGCCUCAGUCUGCUGUGGUGCUGUAGUUAGUGCUUUUGGCUGCAAGUGAAACAGAAGUCCAACUAAAAGUGGAUUUACUCAAACAAUAAGGGGCUAAUUAUAUGCACAACAAAAGUCAGGAGGCAGGCAGUUCUAAAGUCCGUUAAUUCGCUGGUACAAUGGCACCAUCAAGGAUGCACAUGGCUGCCAUAUUCCCAUCCUGCCAUCCAGAGUGCGAUUUCAUCUUCAAACUUGUCUCUUACGGCUGCAAAUGGCUACUCCACCUCCACACAUUACAUCUUUCUGCAACCCCCUUUCAAGGCAGGAAGGGAAGACACUAUUUUUUAUCAGGGAGAAGCCUCCUGGUAGUCUUCCUCCUGUAUCUCAUUGACCUCAAUUGCAUGACAUGGCAAUUGCUUAAAAUGUUCCCUGGAAAAAGAAAAGGAAGAGCUAGUAGUUAAAAACAACUCCAAAGAACAAAAGAAACCAGAGCUUGGAGUACCUCUCAGUGAAUUUCAAUGUGCCAAGGUUCUCACGGAGUCUCACAUUUCUUGGAGGAUUUUUUUUUUUCUCCACACUUUGGAAAGAAGUUUUUUAUUCAGAAACAGUGAAGUGAUUUUUGUUCAACAUUUUUCAAGUAUAUAAAAGGAUUUAAAAAGUCACGUUCAAUAGAUUUUUUUGUCAAUAAAUUUCUUUGACCACUAUUUCACAUUUAAUUGAUUUUGACAUCUCAUGUUAAAGAAGAAAUCUUCUCAGUCUCAAGACAUGGGGGAGAAAUAAGACUCUAUAGCCAGUUUAAAAUGAUUAUUUACGCAUUUCAUAUCAUGCAAAUUACCAGUAGAAAUAAUAAAAUAUCUCUACAGAUAAAAAUCUUUUCCUAUGAUUUUGAUAUUAGUCUACUUGCAGGGGUCCUCGAACUGCAGCCCGUGGGCCACAUGAGACGGUGUGAUUGUAUUUGCUCCCGUUUUGUUUUUUUACUUCAAAAUAAGAUAUGUGCAGUGUGCAUAGGAAUUUGUUCAUAGUUUUUUUUUAAACUACGGUCCAGCCCUCCAACAGUCUGAGGGACAGUGAACUGGCCCCCUGUUUAAAAAGUUUGAAGACCCCUAGACUGAUUUGCAAAAUUUUGUGGCCAGCGUGGUGGCUCACAUCUGUAAUCCUAGCACUCUGGGAGGUCAAACUGGGUGGACUGCCCUGAGCUCACACAUUCGAGACCAGCUUAAGCAAGAGAGAGACCCUGUCUCAAAAAAACAAAAAAAUUAUUAAGACUUCAAAGUGAGCUGAGCCCUCCUGGACUGGGUCCUAAAGUCUAGUUCAUAAUUUAUUCUCUCUGCUCUAGCACCAGGAUCUAAUCAUAGUAGGCGUGAAAUAAAUGCCUGUUGUUAAAUAAAACAGAGAUAGCUUCUGCAUACCUCCCCUUGCUGUCACUGAGACAGCACAAAAGAGAAUUAAGGACAUUUACCUAGGAGCUGGAUGGACAGACUGCAAAGCACAUGGCCAGGAUGCCUAAUGGUCUUGUGGAGUCGGACGGCUCCUCCUGCAGCACCCACCUGUGCAUGAGUAAGCCUGGGACAGCGCAGAACGGACUUAAACAGGAAAGCAUCUGAAAGCAGAACAUGCCUUGGUCACCAGAGCACGUGUAACGUUCACAGGUGUCAAUUCGACUGUCCCCACUUGGAAGACAACACCCUGCAGGCCGCACGUCAGUGCAGCGGAAGCCGCACAUGCGCACAAAUAGAGCGCAGGUGCGUUUACGUGACUUUACGACACCUCGUGGUCAUCUGCAAAGUUCAUGCUGGAGGACUGCGCAACCAAGUUACACCAACAAAUCACAAACAAAAAAUGUUUUAAAGACUGGGCCUCACUCUGUCAUCAAGGCUGGAGUGCAAUCAUAGUUCACUGUAACCUCAGACUCCUCAAAAUUUGAUGUCUUGAGCCCUGCCACUCGAUGGGAGAAUCAGUAGAAUCUGUAGCAUUCUCUAUUGUAAUUUUGUUCCUAUUUAUUUUAUUUAUUUAUUUAUUUCUGUUUAUUUUUAAAUUUUGUUUCACUGGAAAAAUACUGCCCUGUUUUAAACAUUAAAAGUCUAUACAAGUUGCUUUGUUACAAUAAAACUAAACGCGUGCACGAAGGAUUUGAUUCUUUUCUCUCAGAAUAUAUAGACUUUCUCUGACCUUCUGAGUUUGACUUCUAUGAUGUCAUCAUCAAACUGUUAUCCUAAUGUCAUAUUUUUUGAUACACACUUUGCAGAAUGACCUCAGGGCUGUGUGGAUUGAGUAAAGGGAUUUGAAUCAAUGUGUUAAAUGUCUUUGUGGCAACAAAACCGGCACAAUUUGGCCAUCAUUUUCUGAAAAUAUUCACAUGUUUGGGAUACUUAGAACUCAGUUCUGAAUAUGUCAUACUCUUGCUUUUUAAUCUCCAAUUGGUAGUUUUUAAAAUGGGCCUUUUAGCUGGAUAUAAAUUAACAAUGCCUGCCACCACCAUCUAACAGCCCCCAUGCUCUAAGGCCAACUUAUGUGCAUGGAGCAGUUGCAGGCCUACGUUCAUUGGCACUAUAAAACGUGGCUGGGAAGAGAGCCUCUUAGAGUAAGAAAGAUGUGCUGGUGUUCGGAGUCACUUUAAGUCCCAGCUCUCUAUAAUGAAGCUCUCAAAUGUGACCGUGAAUCUGGGUGGCAUGAUGGACUGUGCCUGCUCAAUGCCAUUGGGCAGAGAACCUCCAUAAUGUGUAUGCUUUUCAUUUCUGUAAAAUACAGUAUCAGAAACUAAAUGCCACUUUUUCAGAGGUGAAUUUGACAUCCUGGUCAAAUUCAAAGUUUUUUGAUAUAUAAAACUUUAUAAAUGAAACUAUUUCUUCAAUAGACAAAGUGUGACAAACGCCUACUUGUAACACUAUG